This 1470-nucleotide long non-coding RNA is filed under the name Taeniopygia guttata (zebra finch). RNAcentral describes it as "lncRNA (ENSTGUG00000026611.1)". The record is from RNAcentral. Lineage: Eukaryota; Metazoa; Chordata; Aves; Passeriformes; Estrildidae.
AUGUCACCCUCGUGUCACCCUCGUGUCCCCAAAUUCCGAUGUCCCCCGUGUCACCCGCGUGUCCCGUGUUUGUUUUUGUGUCCCUCCUGUCCCCUCCCUGUCCCCGGCGGUGCCACCCCCGCGCCCUCCCCUCUGUCCCCUCCCUGUGUCCCCUCCCUGUCCCCUCCUCUCCUCCCUGUCCCCACGCCCCUGUCCCUCCCUGUCCCCAGAUUCCGAUGUCACCCGCGUGUCCCCAAAUUCCGAUGUGGCUCCGUGUCACCCGCGUGUCCCGUGUUUGUGUCCCCUCUUCUGUCCCCUCCCCUGUCCCCGCCUGUCCCCGGCGGUGCCACCCCCGCGCCCUCCCCUCUGUCCCCUCUCUGUGUCCCCUCCCUGUCCCCACGCCCCUGUCCCUCCCUGUCCCCAAAUUCCGAUGUCCCUUCGUGUCACCCCCGUGUCACCCCCGUGUCCCGUGUUUGUGUCCUGUCCCCUCCCUGUCCCCAGCGGUGCCACCUCUGUCCCCUCCUCUCCUCCCUGUCCCCUCCCUGUCCCCAAAUUCCGAUUCACCCCCGUGUCACCCUCGUGUCCCGUGUUUGUUUGUGUCCCUCCUGUCCCCUCCCUGUCCCUCCCCUGUCCCCGGCGGUGCCACCCCCGCUCCCUCCCCUCUGUCCCGCUGUCCCCUCUCUCUGUCCCCUCUGUCCCCUCUCUGUCCCCGAUGUCGCCUCCCGCCGCGUCCCGCGGUCCUUUGGCCGCUUUGGCCGCCGCCACGUCGUGUCCGCGCUGCGGGGCCGCGCUGCGGGACCCGGUGCUGCUGCCGUGCGAGCACCGCUGCUGCCGCCGCUGCCUGCUGCCCCCAAUGUCCCCCAUGUCCCCAAUGUCCCCCGGGCUGUCCCCGGUGUCCCCCGGGCCCCCCCCGGGCUGGCCCCGCUGUCCCCAGUGUCGCCGUCCCUGCGCCCCGGGCCGCGUCCGCACCGCGGUGGCGCUGGCGGUGGAGGCGCGGAUCGCGCGGCGGCUGGCGGGGGACAGCGGGGACACGGGAGGGGACAGCGGGGACAGGACAGGGGACAGCGCCGGGGACAGCACCGGGACACCGCGGGGACGCCGCAGGACCGGCAGGACCAGGUGAGAUUUGGGGUUUUUUGGGUUUUAUUGGGAUUUUUUGGCGGUUUCUGGGGGAGAUUUGGGGUUUUGGGGACAUGGGGACAGCGGGGACAGCACCGGGGACAGCGCCGGGACACCGCAGGACCGGCAGGACCAGCCUCGGGGCCCAACUGCGAGCGGACGCCGCCCCUCCCCCACCCACGCGGGACCCCCCAAAAUAAACCCAAAAAACCUCAAAUAAACCCCAAAAAACCCCAAAAGCGUCACCGGUGUCAUUUAAUGUCCCGGGGGGGGGGAGGGGCAGGUGGGGUUUUUUGGGGGGUCCAGGUGAGAUUUUGGGGCGUUUCGGUGACAUUUUUGGGGUUUUGUGACAUUUUUGGGGGGUCCAGGUGA